This 381-nucleotide long non-coding RNA is filed under the name Bos taurus (domestic cattle). RNAcentral describes it as "long non-coding RNA NONBTAT009148". The record is from RNAcentral. Lineage: Eukaryota; Metazoa; Chordata; Mammalia; Artiodactyla; Bovidae.
UAAUUAGGAAAGUACAUCUUUAUAAUAUUGUUUAUCACAUGGAAUUGAAUAUAUAUAAUACUCAGGUACCCUGAUUUUUAUCAUGGAAAAGUCACUUGUUAAUCCCAUUAAUCAUGAAAAAGUAGCAUUUUAAAUUACAAGCUUUCUAUGAGGCUCUUGAAAGUGAUCCCAUUGUUUUACUGUUUUAGAGUAAUAUUUAUGUUCUUUAAUUCCACUUCUGCCAAUGUACUAUUUCUCUUUUAUUAUGUUACUGAACAAACUUACUACAUAAAAUUCUUGGCAAUUAAAAAUUCUGGUUUUGCCAUUUUUGUCUCAAACGUAAUAUACUUUUUUAAUAUGGUUUGAAUGUAAGUUUGUAUAUUUGUGAAUGUGAUCAAUUUU